RNAcentral lists this ribosomal RNA (497 nucleotides) under uncultured bacterium. RNAcentral's name for it is "partial 16S ribosomal RNA". It matches the Rfam family "Bacterial small subunit ribosomal RNA", at positions 28 to 507 of the family's 1533-position model. The record is from RNAcentral.
GAUGAACGCUGGCGGCGUGCCUAAUACAUGCAAGUCGAGCGAACAGACGAGGGGCUUUCUCCUCUGACGGUAUCGGCGGACGGGUGAGUAACACGUGGAUAACCUACCUAUAAGACUGGGAUAACUUCUGGAAACCGGAGCUAAUACCGGAUAAUAUAUGGAACCGCAUGGUUCAAUAGUGAAAGACGGUUUUGCUGUCACUUAUAGAUGGAUCCGCGCCGCAUUAGCUAGUUGGUAAGGUAACGGCUUACCAAGGCAACGAUGCGUAGCCGACCUGAGAGGGUGAUCGGUCACACUGGAACUGAGACACGGUCCAGAAUCCUACGGGAGGCAGCAGUAGGGCAUCUUCGGCAAUGAGCGAAAGCCUGACGGAGCAACGCCGCGUGAGUGAUGCAGGUCUUCGGCUCGUACAGCACUGUUAUCAGGGAAGAACAAAUGUGUAAGUAACUAUGCACGACUUGACGGUACCUAAUCAGACAGCCACGGCUAACUCCGUG